ACGGAGGCCUCAAGCGUUGUUCGGAAUUACUGGGCGUAAAGGGUGCGUAGGCGGCGAGGUAAGUCAGAUGUGAAAGCCCGGGGCUCAACCCCGGAAUUGCAUCCGAUACUGCCUUGCUUGAGGAUUGGUGAGGAGACUGGAAUUCACGGUGUAGCAGUGAAAAGCGUAGAUAUAGUGAGGAAGCCCAAUGGCGAAGGCAGGUAUCUGGACAAUUCCUGACGCUCAUGCACGAAGGCGAGGGGAGCAAAAAA
RNAcentral lists this ribosomal RNA (251 nucleotides) under uncultured prokaryote. RNAcentral's name for it is "partial 16S rRNA". It matches the Rfam family "Bacterial small subunit ribosomal RNA", at positions 525 to 775 of the family's 1533-position model. The record is from RNAcentral.